UACAGAGGUGGCAAGCGUUGUUCGGAAUUACUGGGCGUAAAGGGCGCGUAGGCGGUUCGUUAAGUCCUGUGUGAAAUCCCCCGGCUCAACUGGGGAACUGCACAGGAAACUAGCGGGCUUGAGUUCGGGAGAGGGAAGCGGAAUUCCGGGUGUAGCGGUGAAAUGCGUAGAUAUCUACUGGAACGCCGAUGGUGAAGACGCUCGGCUGGGCCUGUCCUGACGCUGAGGCACGAAAGCGUGGGGAGCAAACAGG
RNAcentral lists this ribosomal RNA (253 nucleotides) under uncultured bacterium. Its description in RNAcentral is "partial 16S ribosomal RNA". It matches the Rfam family "Bacterial small subunit ribosomal RNA", at positions 524 to 776 of the family's 1533-position model. The record is from RNAcentral.